Molecule: non-coding RNA, 217 nt
Organism: Pelobates cultripes (western spadefoot toad)
Lineage: Eukaryota; Metazoa; Chordata; Amphibia; Anura; Pelobatidae
Source: the annotation of a GenBank genome assembly
UAGAAGAUCUUCCCCUUCCAGAGACACAGCUGAUCCCACCGCUUGCUGGUCCAUAGUCAAAAGGCAGCAGGCAGGCAACCAGGCUCCUCCAAUGCACAGUGGCGAGAUUGGUCUCGUCACACAUGCCUAGUGAUUUAUUGAACUGCAGGGGCGUUGAUCCAUUGGGUAGAAAUGUUAUCUGUGUUGGAAGCUUUGACAAUAGAUCUCAUCCUAGAAG